GACCUAGGAUCAGCCAUGCAGUCUAAGUACGAGCUCCCGUACAGUGAAACUGCGAAUGGCUCAUUAAAUCAGUUAUGGUUCAUUUGAUCGUACGUGUUACUUGGAUAACUGUGGAAAUGCUAGAGCUAAUACAUGCAUAAAGCGCCGACCUCGCGGGAGGCGUGCUUUUAUCAGACCAAAAACCGACCGGGCUUCGGCUCGUCGCUUUGGUGACUCUGGAUAACUUCGCGGAUCGCACGGUCGAGCACCGGCGACGGAUCAUUCAAGUGUCUGCCCUAUCAACUUUCGUCGGUAGGGUAUCGGCCUACCGAGGUUCUUACGGGUAACGGGGAAUCAGGGUUCGAUUCCGGAGAGGGAGCCUGAGAAACGGCUACCACAUCCAAGGAAGGCAGCAGGCGCGCAAAUUACCCAUUCCCGACGCGGGGAGGUAGUGACGAAAAAUAACAAUACAGGACUCUCAACGAGGCCCUGUAAUUGGAAUGAGUACACUUUAAAACCUUUAACGAGUAUCCAUUGGAGGGCAAGUCUGGUGCCAGCAGCCGCGGUAAUUCCAGCUCCAAAAGUGUAUAUUUAAGUUGCUGCGGUUAAAAAGCUCGUAGUUGGAUUUUGGGCGCAGGCGGCCGGUCCGUCGCAAGGCGUGCACUGGCCGUCCUGGCCUUACCUCCGGUUCCCCGCCGGUGCUCUUGACUGAGUGUCGGCGGCGGCCGGGACGUUUACUUUGAAAAAAUUAGAGUGUUCAAAGCAGGCGGUUCGCCUGAAUAAUGGUGCAUGGAAUAAUGGAAUAGGACCUCGGUUCUAUUUUGUUGGUUUUCGGAGCGCGAGGUAUGAAUAAGAGGGACAGACGGGGGCAUUCGUACUGUGCCGUUAUAUGUGACAUUCUUGGGAUCGGCGCAGACGAACGACUGCGAAAGCAUUUGCCAAGAAUGUUUUCUUAAAUCAAGAACGAAAGUCAGAAGGUUCGAAGAUCAACAGAUCACGUCUUAGUUCUGACCUAGCACCGAUGCCAACUAUCGAAUCGGUCAACGUAAGAUUGACCGACCUGGCCUCGCUAGCUUCCCGGCAACCAAACUCUCUUCGGAUACCAGGAGAAGUAUGGUGUGCAAGGCUGGAUACCUCAUGAAUGAACGAAGGUCACUAGCUGAUAGUGGCACCGCACCUCUAUGAGACCUCACCUCGCUUAAAUCAACAUGCCAGGACUAGAUACAGUCCUGUGCCAGCAUGACCCGGACUAGC
This 1233-nucleotide ribosomal RNA is filed under the name Ecteinascidia turbinata. RNAcentral describes it as "SSU rRNA". It matches the Rfam family "Eukaryotic small subunit ribosomal RNA". Lineage: Eukaryota; Metazoa; Chordata; Ascidiacea; Phlebobranchia; Perophoridae. The record is from RNAcentral.